GCCGUAGGCUGCAGUCGACGAUUCCUACGGGAGGCAGCAGUAGGGAAUUUUCCGCAAUGGGCGAAAGCCUGACGGAGCAAUACCGCGUGAGGGAUGACGGCCUGUGGGUUGUAAACCUCUUUUCUCAAGGAAGAAGUUCUGACGGUACUUGAGGAAUAAGCAUCGGCUAACUCUGUGCCAGCAGCCGCGGUAUACAGAGGAUGCAAGCGUUAUCCGGAAUCACUGGGCAUAAAGCGUCUGUAGGUUGUUUAGUAAGUCUGCUGUUAAAGACUGGGGCUCAACCCCAGAAAAGCAGUGGAAACUGCUAGACUUGAGUGUGGUAGAGGUAGAGGGAAUUCCUAGUGUAGCGGUGAAAUGCGUAGAUAUUAGGAAGAACACCAAUGGCGAAGGCACUCUACUGGGCCAUAACUGACACUCAGAGACGACAGCUAGGGGAGCAAAUGGGAUUAGAUACCCCAGUAGUCCUAGCCGUAAACGAUGGAUACUAGAUGUUGCACGUAUUAACCCGUGCAGUAUCGUAGCUAAGGCGUUAAGUAUCCCGCCUGGGAAGUACGCUCGCAAGAGUGAAACUCAAAGGAAUUGACGG
RNAcentral lists this ribosomal RNA (586 nucleotides) under uncultured cyanobacterium. RNAcentral's name for it is "bacterial SSU rRNA". It matches the Rfam family "Bacterial small subunit ribosomal RNA", at positions 311 to 916 of the family's 1533-position model. The record is from RNAcentral. Lineage: Bacteria; Bacillati; Cyanobacteriota.